GGUGGUUCUUGGGUGACACACCCGCAGGCUGCCUCCUCUCUGGUUCUGGGUGCAUCACCCGAGACUUGCA
This is a non-coding RNA of Myotis davidii, 70 nucleotides long. NCBI's taxonomy places the organism in Eukaryota, Metazoa, Chordata, Mammalia, Chiroptera, Vespertilionidae. The record is from Rfam.